This 253-nucleotide ribosomal RNA is filed under the name uncultured bacterium. RNAcentral describes it as "partial 16S ribosomal RNA". It matches the Rfam family "Bacterial small subunit ribosomal RNA", at positions 524 to 776 of the family's 1533-position model. The record is from RNAcentral.
UACGAAGGGGGCUAGCGUUGUUCGGAAUUACUGGGCGUAAAGCGCGCGCAGGCGGCUAUCCAAGUCAGUGGUGAAAGCCCGGAGCUCAACUCCGGAACUGCCAUUGAAACUGUUUAGCUUGAGUAUGAGAGAGGUGAGUGGAAUUCCCAGUGUAGAGGUGAAAUUCGUAGAUAUUCGGAAGAACACCGGUGGCGAAGGCGGCGACCUGGUCCGAUACUGACGCUGAGGCGCGAAAGCGUGGGGAGCAAACAGG